RNAcentral lists this small RNA (65 nucleotides) under Flaviramulus basaltis. RNAcentral describes it as "Flavo-1 RNA". It matches the Rfam family "Flavo-1 RNA", at positions 9 to 76 of the family's 76-position model. Lineage: Bacteria; Pseudomonadati; Bacteroidota; Flavobacteriia; Flavobacteriales; Flavobacteriaceae. The record is from RNAcentral.
UAGCGAUUGAAGCGGCAUCCUUUUUUGAAGUAGAAAAAAAGAUAUAGCGGAAAGCGCGACCCAUA